This is a non-coding RNA of Maylandia zebra (zebra mbuna), 732 nucleotides long. NCBI's taxonomy places the organism in Eukaryota, Metazoa, Chordata, Actinopteri, Cichliformes, Cichlidae. The record is from RefSeq and is a predicted model, not a curated record.
UGUAAGUGCUGCUUGACUGCAGUUUGCUCUCAUUUCAAGUGGUUUGCUGUCACAAAGCCAACAGGAAGUCCGGCCAUGGUUGAGCCAACUGAAGAUGGGUUGAAGGUGGCGUCCUCGUUUCCUCUCGAUACAUGUUGGAAAAUGGAGACUUUAGCCACCAAGACUGACGUGCCUGGAAACUUCCCUUCACGGGGUUUGUGACUGAAAUGCGUGUGGUCGACGGGAAGCCUGACGAGUACGGCCUGAAUCAUUCCAUCAACACCGGACGGAGUGAAACCUUUGUUGAAAACAGAUUAUAUGAGGAGUGUCCGCCUGAGUGUUUUGUCUGAUCUGUUGUUGAUCGUCUCAUUGACACUGCAUGCAGAUCUGACACCAGGGCUGGACUGGGACAAAAAAUGGUCCCGGGCAUUUUGACUGGAGACCGGCCCCCCAGGAAGUAGACUGUUGGUCGAGUUAACCUCCUGAACAUCUACAACACACGGUGGAAACCUGACAUUAAGACAGAGACUAGAGGUGAGACAUGAUCAUUGCUGAUUACUGAUGACAGAUUUAGAUAUGUUUUCAUAAACCUUUCAUUUGCCACAUCAAUAAACAGCACGGCAGGGCAAAAUAUGUUUUCUAACAUGGCAACCUUUAAAAAGUGAAAGGAGACAGAAAGACAGCUGAGAAAGAAUCAAACGGACUUUUUGAUGCAUUUUACACACAGUACUGGUGCAGAAUCUAGAAAAUGUG